AAAUCCGCUUUGAUAAUGCUGGGAUGUGAUGGGGAGCGAAAUUUAGUAGCGAAGUAGCUGAUUUCACACUGUCAAGAAAAGUCUCUAUCGAGGUUAAAGGUACCCGUACCGCAAACCGACACAGGUGGGGGAGGAGAGUAUCCUAAGGCCAGCGAGAGAACUGUUGUUAAGGAACUCGGCAAAAUGACCCCGUAACUUAGGGAUAAGGGGUGCCACCAUCAGGUGGCCGCAGAGAAUAGGCCCAAGCGACUGUUUACCAAAAACAUAGGUUUCUGCUAAGUCGCAAGACGAUGUAUAGGAGCUGACGCCUGCCCGGUGCUGGAA
RNAcentral lists this ribosomal RNA (324 nucleotides) under Clostridioides difficile. Its description in RNAcentral is "bacterial LSU rRNA". It matches the Rfam family "Bacterial large subunit ribosomal RNA", at positions 1538 to 1874 of the family's 2925-position model. Lineage: Bacteria; Bacillati; Bacillota; Clostridia; Peptostreptococcales; Peptostreptococcaceae. The record is from RNAcentral.